Molecule: ribosomal RNA, 468 nt
Filed under: uncultured bacterium
Lineage: Bacteria
Description: partial 16S ribosomal RNA
Rfam family: Bacterial small subunit ribosomal RNA
Source: RNAcentral
GACGAACGCUGGCGGCGUGCUUAACACAUGCAAGUCGAACGGAAAGGCCCUGCUUUUGUGGGGUGCUCGAGUGGCGAACGGGUGAGUAACACGUGAGUAACCUGCCCUUGACUUUGGGAUAACUUCAGGAAACUGGGGCUAAUAUCGGAUAGGAGCUCCUGCUGCAUGGUGGGGGUUGGAAAGUUUCGGCGGUUGGGGAUGGACUCGCGGCUUAUCAGCUUGUUGGUGGGGUAGUGGCUUACCAAGGCUUUGACGGGUAGCCGGCCUGAGAGGGUGACCGGCCACAUUGGGACUGAGAUACGGCCCAGACUCCUACGGGAGGCAGCAGUGGGGAAUAUUGCACAAUGGGCGGAAGCCUGAUGCAGCCACGCCGCGUGGGGGAUGACGGCCUUCGGGUUGUAAACCGCUUUCGCCUGUGACGAAGCGUGAGUGACGGUAAUGGGUAAAGAAGCACCGGCUAACUACGUG